Wasmannia auropunctata (little fire ant) is the source of this 1960-nucleotide long non-coding RNA. RefSeq lists it as uncharacterized. The transcript is spliced from 2 exons. The record is from RefSeq and is a predicted model, not a curated record. Lineage: Eukaryota; Metazoa; Arthropoda; Insecta; Hymenoptera; Formicidae.
AAGUACUAUGACGUCAAAGUGUAAUCGCAACUGUGGAACCGCGUUAAACCACGUGGUACGUUAAAUCGUUAAAGCGUGAAUCUUCUCUAUUUCCAUUCACAAGUAUAAGUUCGCUGGAGAUGAUGGAUAAAACCGAGAUCAAGUACCAAGUACCAAUCUUCAAGUAUCAAGUACUCGCUACCCGCGAAGAUCGUAAGAACACUAAAGGUGCGACGUAACAGUGACCGUACUACGAAAAUCGUCGUAUCGUGUUAUCGUUAUCCAAUGACGAUAUAACUACGUAGAGGAAGAAACUGUAAAGAGGCGCUGCGAGUGCGGGAAGUGUAAAAUGUAAAAAGUGGUAAAGUGGAAUAAAACUGCACUAUGCCGUUUGCAAGCAUAAGUUUUGAACGUAAUAUCCACUACCCAUGUAAUUGACGAACUCGUUACUCGGACGUGUGAUCUGCCGACGGCACUUACGAUUCGAGACGUUCAGUGAUCAAAUAGACAAGUGAGAUUCAAAGCCCGGUAAGAAGAUUGCAUUUGCUCAGUAGCACCGAUCGGUAAGAUACUCUGGAGAACUGUUAAGCCGUAAGCUAUAACGCAAUAACCAGUUUUACUAAAAUGCAAUAAAAAUCCCGCAAUAUAUAAAUAUAUUGUUUUGCAUGGCGCAAUAUUUAAUAUUUUUACGAAAUUAGAUGAUAGACGUUUCGCGGAACAUUCAAGUGUUCUUGGGAGUCUUCAGGUUCUUUCGCGAUACAAAUUUUUCUUCAACUUAGUGUCUGCCUUUGCGAAAUUCAAGAUCUAAAUUUUAUAUAGCCCGUAAAUGGUAUCAUGUAAUCCUACGCACAGUCAUAUCAAAUAUCAAUAUUGAGCAAAGUCGCGCGACUUCGCUGUAGCUUAGAAAAUGUGUUGCGUAGUAUAUCGUCUCGGGGUCUAGAUCGAGUCGAGUCGAAUGAAGAAUGCGAGGCAAGACGGUACGUCCCUGCCUUCGGUGGGCAGAUAGGGUAUAAUCAUACCGAGUUUCGUAUCUCGAGGGGGGCCACGGGAAGAUGGUCCAACAUCUGCCGCUGCAGGGAAUCUCUGCCCACAUGCUGGCCGGCCCGCGCGCGCACGCACACGCACACGCGCACGCACACGGCACGGUACGCGCGUGUGUACCGGCCGCCUGUACAACACACGCGCACACGCGACGCACACGCGUGUACGCACGGCAAAAAGUGACGUAGGUACACGGUGGGACGUCAUGUAAAUUCAUUCGAAACACAUGGCAGGGCUCAUGGCGGCGCGGCGCGGCGUUCCUCUAGCGCGCAAAGGGUUUCGAAAGAGAAAUCUCCGAAGAGCAGGGCGCGCGGAAAAACAAACGAUAACUUCGACUUCAACUUCGCGUGUGCGCCCCCUUAGUACCGUUAUUCCGUGCAACGUCGCCGCGGCCGUCGAGCGUGGAUAAAUUUGGAUUUCUUUUCUUCCCGGAGCCACUUUAGCAAUGCGAUAUUUUAGUCGGCUACAAGUCAUCGCAGUUUUAUUUCGUGUAAAAAUGUUUAAUGAAAAAAUUCUAUUGAAAUUAAUUUCGACAGAAUUUGUAAGUUAAUAAAUCAUAAUAUUCUAUCUAUGAAUAUAUUUAUUAAUCAAUAUAAUUAACGAAGAAUUCUUGUGAAUUUCAUUAGGUAUACAUUCAGAUGAAACCUAUUAUAAUUUAGAUAUGGAUUAAUUAUGUACAAUAUAAAAUAUCGGCUUUAUUAAAAGAUAGUUUAUGCAUGACAUACUUUAUCACGAAUACGUUAAUUGGUUACUUCAUUAUUUUAAUAAAUACAUUCCUCUUGCGUAACGCAUAAAUUUAUUAUAUUCCCGUGAACGUGCGAAUUAGCUGCAAUUUAAUUUUAGUCGAUAGAUACUCAUCUUUGUUAUUAUUUACACUAGCCUACAUUACGUUAUAUCAUUACAUUUUCUGCUACACAAAAUAAAUCUGUGCUUCCAAUAA